Molecule: ribosomal RNA, 465 nt
Filed under: Vreelandella stevensii
Lineage: Bacteria; Pseudomonadati; Pseudomonadota; Gammaproteobacteria; Oceanospirillales; Halomonadaceae
Description: partial 16S ribosomal RNA
Rfam family: Bacterial small subunit ribosomal RNA
Source: RNAcentral
CCUACGGGUGGCUGCAGUGGGGAAUAUUGGACAAUGGGGGGAACCCUGAUCCAGCCAUGCCGCGUGUGUGAAGAAGGCCCUCGGGUUGUAAAGCACUUUCAGUGAGGAAGAACGCCUGGUGGUUAAUACCCAUCAGGAAAGACAUCACUCACAGAAGAAGCACCGGCUAACUCCGUGCCAGCAGCCGCGGUAAUACGGAGGGUGCGAGCGUUAAUCGGAAUUACUGGGCGUAAAGCGCGCGUAGGUGGCUUGAUAAGCCGGUUGUGAAAGCCCCGGGCUCAACCUGGGAACGGCAUCCGGAACUGUCAAGCUAGAGUGCAGGAGAGGAAGGUAGAAUUCCCGGUGUAGCGGUGAAAUGCGUAGAGAUCGGGAGGAAUACCAGUGGCGAAGGCGGCCUUCUGGACUGACACUGACACUGAGGUGCGAAAGCAUGGGUAGCAAACAGGAUUAGAUACCCCUGUAGUC